Molecule: long non-coding RNA, 482 nt
Filed under: Macaca mulatta (Rhesus monkey)
Lineage: Eukaryota; Metazoa; Chordata; Mammalia; Primates; Cercopithecidae
Description: lncRNA (ENSMMUG00000050832.1)
Source: RNAcentral
CGUGUGAGCCUCUCUGAUCUUCUUAUGUUCCUCCAUCACAUAAGCAGGAUGAGAACAGACUAAUACAUUACCCAAGAGCAAGAUUGUUUUUGGUGAUCAGAAGUCUUGUCUGAAAAGAAAAAACAUACAUCAAGUACUAAGGGGAAUGUGAUGCUAAUCUGGGAACCAUAUUUGCCCUAAGAAUGGAAGGACUGUGAACAACUGUCUGUGACGAAGUGCAGCGCCAAGGUGAAAAAAAUGCCAGGCAAGGGUAUAUUCAAUAUGAUUACUAUGAGCAUAAUUUCAAGUGACUUCUAUGAAGAAGAUUUCACAGUCACCUGAAGCAACAGCCUGCAGCUGUCAUUAUGGAAAGUCCCCAAAAGGAGCUUGGAAAAUCUUGGGAGGAUUUCUUAAAUCUUAUGAAAAAAGGGAAACAAAUAAAGUAAAAAGAAAUUUCUUCUCAAAAAGAAAUCUGAAAAUGUAGCAUUAGAAACCAAGGAGGG